RNAcentral lists this ribosomal RNA (301 nucleotides) under uncultured bacterium. Its description in RNAcentral is "partial 16S ribosomal RNA". It matches the Rfam family "Bacterial small subunit ribosomal RNA", at positions 509 to 807 of the family's 1533-position model. The record is from RNAcentral.
CAGCAGCCGCGGGAAUACGUAGGGGGCGAGCGUUGUCCGAAGUUACUGGGCGUAAAACACACGUAGGCGGCUUUUUAAGUCAGAGGUGAAAGCCCGGAGCUCAACUCCGGAACUGCCUUUGAGACUGGAAGGCUUGAACGUCGGAGAGGUGAGUGGAAUUCCGAGUGUAGAGGUGAAAUUCGUAGAUAUUGGGAAGAACACCGGUGGCGAAGGCGGCGACCUGGUCCUUUACUGACGCUGAGGCGCGAAAGCGUGAGGAGCAAACAGGAUUAGAUACCCGUGUAGUCCCUGUCUCUUAUAC